This 85-nucleotide transfer RNA is filed under the name Felis catus (domestic cat). It matches the Rfam family "tRNA". Rfam says of the family: Transfer RNA (tRNA) molecules are approximately 80 nucleotides in length. RNAcentral also lists the same sequence under 4 other names. Lineage: Eukaryota; Metazoa; Chordata; Mammalia; Carnivora; Felidae. The record is from Rfam by way of RNAcentral.
GCCUGGGUGGCUCAGUCGGUUGAGUGUCUGACUUCGGCUCAGGUCAUGAUCUCACAGCUCGUGAGUUCGAGCCCCACGUCAGGCU